ACUCCUACGGGAGGCAGCAGUGGGGAAUCUUGGACAAUGGGGGCAACCCUGAUCCAGCCAUGCCGCGUGAGUGAUGAAGGCCUUAGGGUCGUAAAGCUCUUUCGCCUGUGAUGAUAAUGACAGUAGCAGGUAAAGAAACCCCGGCUAACUCCGUGCCAGCAGCCGCGGUAAUACGGAGGGGUUAGCGUUGUUCGGAAUUACUGGGGCGUAAAGCGCGCGUAGGCGGAUUAGUCAGUUAGAGGUGAAAUCCCAGGGCUCAACCCUGGAACUGCCUUUAAUACUGCUAGUCUUGAGUUCGAGAGAGGUGAGUGGAAUUCCGAGUGUAGAGGUGAAAUUCGUAGAUAUUCGGAGGAACACCAGUGGCGAAGGCGGCUCACUGGCUCGAUACUGACGCUGAGGUGCGAAAGUGUGGGGAGCAAACAGGAUUAGAUACCCUGGUAGCCCGAUG
This 448-nucleotide ribosomal RNA is filed under the name uncultured bacterium. Its description in RNAcentral is "bacterial SSU rRNA". It matches the Rfam family "Bacterial small subunit ribosomal RNA", at positions 335 to 799 of the family's 1533-position model. The record is from RNAcentral.